CCACACAUUAGAGAACAAAGCCCUUAUCAAGGCUUUCCCGCUUCCCGUGAGACUUGGCCCGCGAUAUUCCAGACAAAGGAAACCCCACCAGCUGGCAACUGAGUUCGCACGUCAAACUCAAACCUACAGCCCCGUAUUUGACAGGGCUCUCCUCCGUAGUACGUAUUGGCAGAAACGAUACUACGUAGCACGCAUGUCUGAGUAGCUUGAUGAUGUUUCUUUUUUCCUCACUGAACACCAAGUGCUAACCCUACAGCUAGCCCAUUUUCCAGAUUCUUGCUCUCAAGGCGAGACGGUAGGGCGCAAUUAAAGGAAUGGUGCGAACAGUUAAUAAUCGGCGGCUUUCACGGCCCACUUGCAAAUAUAUUGUCAAACCUUGACUAGAUUGAUGCUUGUUGUAAAAUGCAACGUUGAUUAAUUAGAAUAAAAAUUUUUAAAAUUAAAAAAAGUAAAAAAUAAAAAUAAUAAAAAAAUACAAGUUCAAAAGA
Molecule: small RNA, 488 nt
Filed under: Histoplasma capsulatum
Lineage: Eukaryota; Fungi; Ascomycota; Eurotiomycetes; Onygenales; Ajellomycetaceae
Also listed under: 1 other name
Description: hypothetical RNA
Source: RNAcentral